AUUUGUACCAGCAUCGCAUCGCAUCGUAUAGUUUCGCUUCAGUAGCUUCGCAAACGCGCCAGAUGAAUCUUUGAAAACGACGUCGGGAAAAUCUUUAAUUUCAGAUAGAAGAUGCUGCGCUACGCGCCUCAUUUUUUUAACGACUUAAGCAUAGCAUAAGCAUCGGCAUCAUAGUUAGUCUGUCGUGCCAAGAUUUAUUUUUAAUCUAGUUUGGAGCACGUAAAUUAGCUCGUGGCAACUUCGUAACGCGCCCAGCGGCACUCAUUCGAAAUCGCGCGCGCACUUUUGAAGUUAUCGCGGUAAAUUCAAACGAACACUGCAGCGAGCAAAGAGAGAGAUUUUUCGCACUUGUUUGAAUCUUGGUGGUCGGAGUUACGUGUGUUGAACCAGUCGUUACAAGUCUGGAGUGAAGAAGAUUAUCUACUUAAUUAGUUUAUUAGCUCUUCUGGGUGUUUCACCGGCGUGAAGGUUUCGUGCUUGGUCGGGGUUUUUCCUGGUUGCAGAUUGCCGAAUUGGAUCAACGCAGUGUGAUCUGGGCUGUCGAAACAAGCGUGUCAAGAAUUUUCCGCCUUCUUCAUCAGACAUGCAGCCCGAAGAAUACGAAAACACUGGCUGGCUGUCGUAUUUCAGCCGCCACAAGACGACAUACACGGCAGCUGACAUUCAUAAAAUAAGUAACGAGUUAAAUAAUGUGCGUAAGAAUUUAACGGCGACCCAGUACGCGUACGGUGAACUGAGCAGUGAGUUGAAGGCGCUAAAGAGCUUACAGGAGCAACAGAGGUUGAGUGAGGAGUACGAACGUGCCAACAGCAGUAAAUCUAGCUCGGCCAAAUCAGCUGAGAAACGACUCGCCCAACAGGCGGACGAGAUAAAAUCCCUGAAAAGUGAAUUAACGGGUUGUAAAAAUGAUCUAUUGAAGCAGAUUAACGCAUUGAAAGUGAACGUGAGCGAAACCGUUAAGAAGAAAAUCAAAACCGGCCAACUUCCGACCGGGGCAUCGUUGAGUAUCGAGAGUCGAAUUAUUGCCAUCGAAGCGCAGUUGGAUCAGCUGGCAGCGGAGAACAGAGAUCGCCUAAAUGGUUUGGAGUGUCGACUGAAUCAGGUGGAACAGCAACACGAACGCGAAUGUGGACACGCGGUGAAGAAACUAGAAUCUACAACCAGUCGGAAGUUACAGGAGAUGACAAAUUUGAUACUGGAAUUGCAGCGAAAAAUGGAUACGAGCGAAACGAAGCUGGAUGAGCAGAUAAGGAAUCAGAGCAUGAGCCAGGAUGCGAUUUAUGAGGAGUUGGAUCAACGGAUGGACGUUUUUGCGGCCAAGAUGCGGGAGCUGCAUGCAAGAAUUGCGCAUUUAGGACAACGGGACGAUAUCGGUUCGACGUUUGUCUAGCGCGCUUGUGGAGUAUUUGUUGUGCUUACGUGAUGCUUUUACCAAUAUUAGUAUUAGUCAUGUCACUAUUUGGUACCGUUUUCACGGGUGAUACGGAAAGCCACACUACGGACACUGCCCGUCACGACCUGCACAUUCACGACCACCUGCACACAGCCGAUCUACACCACAACCCUCUGCAUGUAGCGGAUUUCCACCACGAUCUGCAUCACGAUGUUCACCACGAUCUGCACCAUGAUGUGCACCACGAUAUCCACCACCAUGACGUGCACACGGCACAUGAUCUUCACCACCACGACUUGCACCACCCACAUCACACGGUGGCCGCUGACCACCUGCACACCGAAGUGCACCACCACGACGUAGUCCAGGGCCAUGGGGAUCACCUGCACCACUCACACCACGAUGUGGUAGUGGCCACGCCCCACGCGUCCGGCUUCUGGAAAAAGAGCUUCAUCUGGAAGCCCCGUUGGGUGAAGUCCUGGCACGAGAAGAAAAUCUACGUUCCGGUGUGGAAGCACGUUUGGGGUCCGGUGCAGAUGACUGAGUGGGUGCCGAUCCCGAAGCCUCCGCCAGGUUGGCAAAAGCAUUGAACGUGUGUCGGUCGGAAGACGGGCUUACGUAGCGUUACGCUUUCCAAGAAUGCGUAGUAUUUGAAUUAGAUGUAUUUUCUUGAAAGAUAGAUAAAUGCUUUAUAACAGUAGCUAGUAGAUGUGAUGAACCUAGCAUUAUUUAUAUGUGUCGGAUGUACAAAAAUAAAAUAGGAUUUUAACAUGUUA
Molecule: RNA transcript, 2169 nt
Organism: Aedes aegypti (yellow fever mosquito)
Lineage: Eukaryota; Metazoa; Arthropoda; Insecta; Diptera; Culicidae
Gene name: histidine-rich glycoprotein
Exons: 4
Source: RefSeq, a predicted model, not a curated record